AUUGAGCUUGGAGAUGGUGAUAUUGGUAUUGUUGAUGUUGAAAAAGAGAGAUAUACUUGAGGAGUUACAUCCUGGUAGAAACUUGAAAGAGUUAUCAAUUGAUGGUUAUAGGGAUGAAAUAUUCCCCGAUUGGUUAGACCUUUCUUGCUACUUCAAUAUAACCAAAUUGAGUUUGAGGAGUUUUAAGAAUCGUCGUCAGCUUCCUUCAUUGGGACAGUUACCCGCUCUGCAGCGUCUGGUGGUAUUUAGAUUUGAUAGGCGGGAAAGAAUUGGUGGUGAGUUUUACAACAACACUGAAUCAUGUCAUGAAGGGACACCCUUCAGAUCUCUUCGAAGUCUGACAUUUGGUGAAAUGCCUCGCUGGCGAGAGUGGCAUAUUCCUCAUGACGUUGAUGGGUUUCCAAAACUUGAAUGGCUUUCAAUAAAAGACUGUCCGGUGUUAAGUGGAGAAACUGAGUCUGAAUGCUUUUAUCCCACUGUCUCAUUAGGAAGGCUGAAGCGUGAAUCGUAAUACAUGGAUGAGGCAAGGUGAGAACUGGGAUGCACUGAAAGUUUAAUGUUGCAAGACAUUCAUAGAUAUGGUAUCGCAAGAAUUCAACGAAACCAGUGCAAGGGAUAGUGUGGUUUAAUUUCAAACCUCUUGUGAGUGCUUGGCACGCAUACACUUCAUCCAUUUUAGACGGAUGAUGAAAUCCACCAUGGGAGCAAUUAUGCACUUCAAAGCUAAAACUCAUAUGGGGAACUCAAGACGAUCUUUAUCAUCCCAAGUAGGAAAUGAAGGAGCACAGUUCUUUGUAUAAGCAAGGAGAAUAAUGUGGAAGAAUUUUAAGGUUGAGUGCAAAAUUGCAAAUGCAGCAUGUUCUUGAUGUGGUUCAGGCUUCAUGAGAAUUUUUUAUUUCUUGAAUCAUUGUUUGAGCAUUUUAGUCAAUUAAAUAGAUUUUGAUACAAGUGCAGUAACAAGGUAGUUAAAUAUCAACUUGUUUCCUGGAAGUAAACAUUUCAUCAUUUGUGAAUAUAUGCCAUAGUUUAUAAAUAGUUUUACUAUACAUCUCUUUCUCAAGUAUGCUUGCAUCAGCAAAUUAAAUUAUUAUAACGAAACUUUUGAGAAACAAGUGCUAGUAUAAGUGUUUAACACUGUAACUAUAAGAUCAAGUCAGCACUAACCAAUAGUUGUAUAAUACUUUCUUUAUGUUACUUGCCGUAAAGGAUAGGCGAAUACGAUUUAUAUAUAUAUAUAUAAAAUGUUGCAAAAAUAAUUUAUAUAACCAUAAUUCUAUGCUAUUUCAUUUUAGUGUGCCAUUUUUUGCUCUACAUUAGCUAUAAUAGUUAAAUUACAUUCAAUUCAAUCUAAAGAUACCUUAGAGUACCUUUCUUCUUUUCUUUCUUUCCUUUUUCUUUUUUCCUGCUUCAUUGGAUUUCCUAUUUGAUCCUGGAAAAGUGAAGGAGGCAAAAGGUUUUGGUAUACCAAUGGAUCUCUCUACAACCAUCGACUAUUUUAAUUAAAUAAUUUGCUUCUGCUGUUAAGGAAGCAGAUAAUCAAAGAGUUUAAUAUUGCAAGAAUUCAUAGAUAUGGUAAUGCAAGCAUUCAAUGAAACCUAGUGCAAAGAUGCAGUGGUUUCAAGCACCUUGUGAGUGCUUGGAACAGCACACACUUCAUCCAUUUGUGCUGAACAACACUUUACAAAAAUCAGAAUAUGACAAGGGGGAAAUUUUUCUCCAGGAAGGAUGGAAAUAGCCAAGCUCUGAAAAAGAAUCCACAACCUUGUAUCUUUCAAGAAAAUCGAGGUUGUGUCCACCAUAUUUUCGUUUGUAACCGACAUCCUGUAUAUUCUGCAAUGAUUUGCACUAAUGUUGUUCGAAUCAAUCUGGAAUCGCACAUCAUCCACCAAUUGGCGUUAGUAAAAUAUUAAUUCCCUGGUCAGAAUCAACCAUUCAAUCAAAUCAAAUCAAAAUAAGGAGGAGUAAUCGAUAUACAGAAAAAGAACAAUA
Arachis stenosperma is the source of this 1989-nucleotide long non-coding RNA. RefSeq lists it as uncharacterized. The transcript has 4 exons. Lineage: Eukaryota; Viridiplantae; Streptophyta; Magnoliopsida; Fabales; Fabaceae. The record is from RefSeq and is a predicted model, not a curated record.